AUUCCCUUAGUUUAAAAGGUAGAAUAGCAUUAUUACGAAAAUGUCUGAUUUGGUUCGAUUCCAAAAAGGAAUU
Molecule: transfer RNA, 73 nt
Filed under: Rhizoctonia solani
Lineage: Eukaryota; Fungi; Basidiomycota; Agaricomycetes; Cantharellales; Ceratobasidiaceae
Description: tRNA-Val
Source: RNAcentral